AGGGAUUCCUUAGUAACGGCGAGUGAAGCGGCAAAAGCUCAAAUUUGAAAUCUGGCACCUUCGGUGUCCGAGUUGUAAUUUGAAGAAGGUAACUUUGGAGUUGGCUCUUGUCUAUGUUCCUUGGAACAGGACGUCACAGAGGGUGAGAAUCCCGUGCGAUGAGAUGCCCAAUUCUAUGUAAAGUGCUUUCGAAGAGUCGAGUUGUUUGGGAAUGCAGCUCUAAGUGGGUGGUAAAUUCCAUCUAAAGCUAAAUAUUGGCGAGAGACCGAUAGCGAACAAGUACAGUGAUGGAAAGAUGAAAAGAACUUUGAAAAGAGAGUGAAAAAGUACGUGAAAUUGUUGAAAGGGAAGGGCUUGAGAUCAGACUUGGUAUUUUGCGAUCCUUUCCUUCUUGGUUGGGUUCCUCGCAGCUUACUGGGCCAGCAUCGGUUUGGAUGGUAGGAUAAUGACUAAGGAAUGUGGCUCUACUUCGGUGGAGUGUUAUAGCCUUGGUUGAUACUGCCUGUCUAGACCGAGGACUGCGUCUUUUGACUAGGAUGUUGGCAUAAUGAUC
Molecule: ribosomal RNA, 553 nt
Filed under: Debaryomyces hansenii
Lineage: Eukaryota; Fungi; Ascomycota; Pichiomycetes; Serinales; Debaryomycetaceae
Description: eukaryotic LSU rRNA
Rfam family: Eukaryotic large subunit ribosomal RNA
Source: RNAcentral